GUGCUUGCUUUGGGGGCACAUAUACUAAAAUUGGAACGAUACAGAGAAGAUCAGCAUGACUCCUGCGCUAGGAUGACACACAAAUUCGUGAAGCGUUUCAAAUUUUU
Choloepus hoffmanni (Hoffmann's two-fingered sloth) is the source of this 107-nucleotide small nuclear RNA. Lineage: Eukaryota; Metazoa; Chordata; Mammalia; Pilosa; Megalonychidae. The record is from Ensembl.